CCUACGGGAGGCAGCAGUAGGGAAUAUUGCUCAAUGGGGGAAACCCUGAAGCAGCAACGCCGCGUGGGGGAUGAAGGUUUUCGGAUUGUAAACUCCUUUUGUUAGGGAAGAUAAUGACGGUAUCUAACGAAUAAGCACCGGCUAACUCCGUGCCAGCAGCCGCGGUAAUACGGAGGGUGCAAGCGUUACUCGGAAUCACUGGGCGUAAAGAGCGCGUAGGCGGGAUAGCAAGUCAGAUGUGAAAUCCUAUGGCUUAACCAUAGAACUGCAUUUGAAACUGUUAUUCUAGAGUAUGGGAGAGGUAGGUGGAAUUCUUGGUGUAGGGGUAAAAUGCGUAGAGAUUAAGAGGAAUACUCAUUGCGAAGGCGACCUGCUAGAACAUAACUGACGCUGAUGCGCGAAAGCGUGGGGAGCAAACAGGAUUAGAUACCCCUGUAGUC
This 440-nucleotide ribosomal RNA is filed under the name uncultured bacterium. Its description in RNAcentral is "partial 16S ribosomal RNA". It matches the Rfam family "Bacterial small subunit ribosomal RNA", at positions 338 to 795 of the family's 1533-position model. The record is from RNAcentral.